GCCUACGGCCACACCACCCUGAACACGCCCGAUCUCGUCUGAUCUCGGAAGCCAAGCAGGGUCGGGCUCGGACAGUACUGGGAUGGUUGACCUCCUGGGAAUACCGGGUGCUGUAGACA
This is a ribosomal RNA of Hyla sarda, 119 nucleotides long. The record is from RefSeq and is a predicted model, not a curated record. NCBI's taxonomy places the organism in Eukaryota, Metazoa, Chordata, Amphibia, Anura, Hylidae.